CGAAGAAGAAAUUUCACGCCAUAUUUUAAUUUGACAGGUAUUUUGGCAUUAGUUGGACUUUAGUGCACGCAAAUUUACGAAUCCUAAAAUGGCCAAGACUUAUAUUUGUUAAUUUACAUAACUUCCGAUAUCGAAUUGUUGCUGAGACGUAGCCUACACCGUAUUUGAUAAACAACUUUGCUAGCAGAGAAUGCUAAACAGCCACAACUGCUUCGCUCGACUGUCGCCAUCAAGGACGGAUGGCCAUGACCACGUCAGCCUUCAAAACCGAUGAAAAACACCCAGCAUACAACGUUAUAAAGGACCUCAUUGUGAAGGAGGAUUUGAAAAGAAUGAACUUCAUGUAGACACUCCGUCAAGAAGACCUUCAAAUAAUGAAAACAUCUACGAUGCCAUAAUGGACAUUUCCACAAAAAAGGGAUUACUGCAUGAUGGACGUCGCUCUCAAUUAGACCUCCAAACA
Etheostoma spectabile (orangethroat darter) is the source of this 463-nucleotide long non-coding RNA. RefSeq lists it as uncharacterized. The record is from RefSeq and is a predicted model, not a curated record. The transcript has 3 exons. NCBI's taxonomy places the organism in Eukaryota, Metazoa, Chordata, Actinopteri, Perciformes, Percidae.